UACAGAGGGCUCAAGCGUUGUCCGGAUUUAUUGGGUUUAAAGGGUGCGUAGGCGGUCUAUUAAGUCAGUGCUGAAAUAUCCCGGCUUAACCGGGAGGGUGGCAUUGAUACUGAUGGACUUGAGUGCAGUCGAGGUAGGCGGAAUUGACGGUGUAGCGGUGAAAUGCUUAGAUAUCGUCAAGAACACCGAUAGUGAAGACAGCUUACUAGACUGUAACUGACGCUGAGGCACGAAAGUGUGGGGAUCAAACAGG
Molecule: ribosomal RNA, 253 nt
Filed under: uncultured bacterium
Lineage: Bacteria
Description: partial 16S ribosomal RNA
Rfam family: Bacterial small subunit ribosomal RNA
Source: RNAcentral